UCCUGUGGCCAUACCACCCUAAAUGCCCCUAAUCUCAUCUGAUCUCAGAAGCUAAGCAGGAUUGGGCCUGAUUAGUACUUGGGAUGGGAGACUGCCUGGGAAUAUCAGGUGCUGUAGGCU
Molecule: ribosomal RNA, 120 nt
Filed under: Moschus moschiferus (Siberian musk deer)
Lineage: Eukaryota; Metazoa; Chordata; Mammalia; Artiodactyla; Moschidae
Source: RNAcentral